Molecule: long non-coding RNA, 890 nt
Organism: Oncorhynchus masou masou (cherry salmon)
Lineage: Eukaryota; Metazoa; Chordata; Actinopteri; Salmoniformes; Salmonidae
Exons: 2
Source: RefSeq, a predicted model, not a curated record
ACAGGGUGUUACAGUACAGAGUCGAUGUUCAUCAUUAAAACCACUCGGCUUACGCGUGUUUUUAAUGAUGCAACGGCCAACAAUGUACUAUGCAUUAUUAACUGAAAUGCCACGCGGUACUAACGGCGCCUGAGCUUUACUCGGAUCAACGCACCAUUUAAAAUAGUUUCCUCUGGCUGCACAUAUUGACACGGCUGGUUGCUGGUACUUACACGACAACGCAGUAAAACCGAUCUGACACGUCAUGGGUCCAGUUAGACAGUAGUAAAAUAGAACUCAUUGAUUUGACAUCAAACGUAUUUCAAUCUGAUUGUAAUAGGCCUGUAGCCUACUGUUUAUAUUUUAAUGCAGUCGUUUUCUUUUUUCAGUUGAAUCGUCUUUUUAUUAUGGGGUUUGUUUGACUCAAUUACGAAGACAUUGGCAACUUUAUUCUGGAGUUAAAUUACAAUGUUACUCGUGAGGGUUUUGGGUAACGGCUCUGAGAUUUAACGAAGGUUCUAACGAUUUUAAAUUGGCGUUAAGAUAAUUUUGGGGAAGCCCUGGUUAAUAUUAGUGCACAGUGUAGGGAAUAGGCAGCCAUCUGUAAACAGUUGGGACUGCAGCCAUGUUAUCACUGCCCUAUGGACAUACUAGGUGGUCGUACAGCUUGUGUAUUGAAACUCUCUUUCCCCCCCCCCCCCGUCUCUGACCACCAGGUUGAUGACAACAAGAAGCUGGGCGAGUGGGUUGGUCUGUGCAAGAUCGACCGGGAGGGAAAACCCCGUAAGGUGGUGGGCUGCAGCUGUGUUGUGAUCAAGGACUAUGGCAAGGAGUCUCAGGCUAAGGACGUGAUUGAGGAAUACUUCAAGGCCAAGAAAUGAGGUGUCAUUUUCAAUAAAAGCUGAAAUGAA